RNAcentral lists this ribosomal RNA (484 nucleotides) under uncultured bacterium. RNAcentral describes it as "partial 16S ribosomal RNA". It matches the Rfam family "Bacterial small subunit ribosomal RNA", at positions 28 to 523 of the family's 1533-position model. The record is from RNAcentral.
GAUGAACGCUGGCGGCGUGCCUAACACAUGCAAGUCGAACGAAGCACUGAGACUUCGGUUUUUGUGCUUAGUGGCGGACGGGUUAGUAACGCGUGAGCAAUCUGCCUUUCAGAGGGGGAUAACGAUUGGAAACGAUCGCUAAUACCGCAUAACGUAUUCGGAUGGCAUCAUCUGAAUACCAAAGGAGCAAUCCGCUGAAAGAUGAGCUCGCGUCUGAUUAGAUAGUUGGUGAGGUAACGGCCCACCAAGUCGACGAUCAGUAGCCGGACUGAGAGGUUGAACGGCCACAUUGGGACUGAGACACGGCCCAGACUCCUACGGGAGGCAGCAGUGGGGAAUAUUGCGCAAUGGGGGAAACCCUGACGCAGCAACGCCGCGUGAUUGAAGAAGGUCUUCGGAUUGUAAAAAUCUUUUAUCAAGGACGAAGAAGUGACGGUACUUGAUGAAUAAGCUCCGGCUAACUACGUGCCAGCCGCCGCAGUAA